AGAGUUUGAUCCUGGCUCAGGAUGAACGCUAGCGGCAGGCUUAAUACAUGCAAGUCGUGGGGCAGCACAGUGUAGCAAUACAUGGGUGGCGACCGGCAAACGGGUGCGGAACACGUACGCAACCUUCCUUUAACUGGAGAGUAGCCCGGGGAAACCCGGAUUAAUACUCCGUAACAUUAUGAAGUGGCAUCACUUUAUAAUUAUAGCUCCGGCGGUUGAAGAUGGGCGUGCGUCUGAUUAGGUAGUUGGCGGGGUAACGGCCCACCAAGCCUACGAUCAGUAACUGGUGUGAGAGCACGACCAGUCACACGGGCACUGAGACACGGGCCCGACUCCUACGGGAGGCAGCAGUAAGGAAUAUUGGUCAAUGGACGCAAGUCUGAACCAGCCAUGCCGCGUGGAGGAUGAAGGUCCUCUGGAUUGUAAACUUCUUUUAUUUGGGAAGAAACCCCCGAUUUCUAUUGGGGUUGACGGUACCAGAUGAAUAAGCACCGGCUAACUCCGUGCCAGCAGCCGCGGUAAUACGGAGGGUGCAAGCGUUAUCCGGAUUCACUGGGUUUAAAGGGUGCGUAGCGGGUUGGUAAGUCCGUGGUGAAAUCUCCAAGCUUAACUUGGAAACUGCCGUGGAUACUAUCAAUCUUGAAUAUAGUGGAGGUGAGCGGAAUAUGUCAUGUAGCGGUGAAAUGCUUAGAUAUGACAUAGAACACCCAUUGCGAAGGCAGCUCGCUACACUAUUAUUGACGCUGAGGCACGAAAGCGUGGGGAUCAAACAGGAUUAGAUACCCUAGUAGUCC
This 794-nucleotide ribosomal RNA is filed under the name uncultured bacterium. RNAcentral describes it as "bacterial SSU rRNA". It matches the Rfam family "Bacterial small subunit ribosomal RNA", at positions 8 to 796 of the family's 1533-position model. The record is from RNAcentral.